AUUGAACGCUGGCGGCAUGCUUUACACAUGCAAGUCGAGCGGCAGUGCGGGGGCAACCCUGGCGGCGAGCGGCGAACGGGUGAGUAACGCAUCGGAACGUAUCCUGUAGUGGGGAAUAACUCAUCGAAAGGUGAGCUAAUACCGCAUAAGCUCUGAGGAGGAAAGCGGGGGACCGAAAGGCCUCGCGCUGCAGGAGCGGCCGAUGUCCGAUUAGCUAGUUGGUGAGGUAAAGGCUCACCAAGGCGACGAUCGGUAGCUGGUCUGAGAGGAUGAUCAGCCACACUGGGACUGAGACACGGCCCAGACUCCUACGGGAGGCAGCAGUGGGGAAUUUUGGACAAUGGGGGAAACCCUGAUCCAGCCAUGCCGCGUGAGUGAAGAAGGCCUCGGUUGUAAAGCUUUUUCGGUACGGAACGAAAUUAGCUUGGACGUAAUACUCUGAGUAGAUGAC
This 451-nucleotide ribosomal RNA is filed under the name uncultured bacterium. Its description in RNAcentral is "bacterial SSU rRNA". It matches the Rfam family "Bacterial small subunit ribosomal RNA", at positions 30 to 478 of the family's 1533-position model. The record is from RNAcentral.